GGGAUGAGGCAGGAGUUCCAGCAGGUGUCCUUUCUGCAAAGCCCUGUGACAGGAGGGGACAGCUGCAGCUCCCCCUUCAGCUAUAAAAAGCCCUAACACCCAAGCAAGCAGAGGACACACGGAGAGAAGGACACGCUGGGGAAACCCAGUUGGAACUCAGGAAGGAGCUCGACCCCAGAACCAUGCUGAGGCUGCGCCCUGCCCUCAGGCUGCUCCAAGCCCCCCUGAGGUGUUGGGCAGUCCCCAAGGCCCACGUCUCUGCCAAGCCGGCCGAAACACCCACCUCUCCUGCGGAGCAGGCCGUGGGGCUCUCAUUCAUACUCAUCACCUUCCUGGGUCCUGCAGGCUGGAUCUUAAGCCACUUGGAAAACUACAAGAAGCGCCCCACAGCAUAAAGGCUCUAGUGUCACCGCAGGCGCAGGACUGAAAGGCAGCAUUAAACUGUCCUUCCACCUACCGUU
This is a long non-coding RNA of Cebus imitator (Panamanian white-faced capuchin), 461 nucleotides long. RefSeq lists it as uncharacterized. Lineage: Eukaryota; Metazoa; Chordata; Mammalia; Primates; Cebidae. The transcript is spliced from 3 exons. The record is from RefSeq and is a predicted model, not a curated record.